AUUCUUUUAGUACUGAUCAAUACAAUUGACUUCCAAUCAAUUAACUUCGGUAAAAACCCGAAAAAGAAUA
This 70-nucleotide transfer RNA is filed under the name Hapalemur aureus (golden bamboo lemur). RNAcentral's name for it is "tRNA-Gly". It matches the Rfam family "tRNA". Rfam says of the family: Transfer RNA (tRNA) molecules are approximately 80 nucleotides in length. Lineage: Eukaryota; Metazoa; Chordata; Mammalia; Primates; Lemuridae. The record is from RNAcentral.